Molecule: ribosomal RNA, 253 nt
Filed under: uncultured bacterium
Lineage: Bacteria
Description: partial 16S ribosomal RNA
Rfam family: Bacterial small subunit ribosomal RNA
Source: RNAcentral
UACGGAGGAUUCGAGCGUUAUCCGGAUUUAUUGGGUUUAAAGGGUGCGUAGGCGGACUGGUAAGUCAGCUGUGAAAGCUUACGGCUCAACCGUGAAAUUGCAGUUGAUACUGCUGGUCUUGAGUAUACAUGAGGUGGGCGGAAUUUGUGGUGUAGCGGUGAAAUGCUUAGAUAUCACAAAGAACUCCAAUUGCGAAGGCAGCUCACUAAACUAUAACUGACGCUGAUGCACGAAGGUGUGGGGAUCAAACAGG